UACGGGGGGGGCAAGCGUUGUUCGGAAUUACUGGGCGUAAAGCGUGCGCAGGCGGUUGUGCAAGACAGAUGUGAAAUCCCCGGGCUCAACCUGGGAACUGCAUUUGUGACUGCACGGCUGGAGUGCGGCAGAGGGGGAUGGAAUUCCGCGUGUAGCAGUGAAAUGCGUAGAUAUGCGGAGGAACACCGAUGGCGAAGGCAAUCCCCUGGGCCUGCACUGACGCUCAUGCACGAAAGCGUGGGGAGCAAACAGG
This 253-nucleotide ribosomal RNA is filed under the name uncultured bacterium. RNAcentral's name for it is "partial 16S ribosomal RNA". It matches the Rfam family "Bacterial small subunit ribosomal RNA", at positions 524 to 776 of the family's 1533-position model. The record is from RNAcentral.